This 224-nucleotide long non-coding RNA is filed under the name Sciurus vulgaris (Eurasian red squirrel). RNAcentral's name for it is "Nuclear RNase P (ENSSVLG00005000298.1)". It matches the Rfam family "Nuclear RNase P", at positions 139 to 283 of the family's 301-position model. Rfam says of the family: Ribonuclease P (RNase P) is a ubiquitous endoribonuclease, found in archaea, bacteria and eukarya as well as chloroplasts and mitochondria. Its best characterised activity is the generation of mature 5'-ends of tRNAs by cleaving the 5'-leader elements of precursor-tRNAs. The record is from Rfam by way of RNAcentral. Lineage: Eukaryota; Metazoa; Chordata; Mammalia; Rodentia; Sciuridae.
GAGGGUCCCUGGUCCGUCCUCAAAGGAAAACAAAAAGCUGUGGCUCUUGGGAGAAGCACCCCGAUUUUGAGAAUUUCAGGCCCAUUAAGAACUGCUUUAUCCGCCCUUGGGGAGGGGCCUGGCGGAUGCCUCCUUAGCCGGAGCUUGGAACAGACUCACGGCCAGCGAAGUGAGUUCAAUGGCUGAGGUGAGGUACCCUCCACCGGGGCCUCAUAACCCAAUUC